GGUACAUACCUACAGAGUGGUGGCUAGUGAAAAAAAAACUAUAGCCAGGUGUCAAUAUUUUAAUUAAAGUAAUUUGCUAUUAAUACUGAUUUGUAUGUGUAUGUGUGUGUGUGUGUGUGUGUGUGUGUGUGUGUGUGAAGCUGGGGAUUGAACCCAGGGCCUUGUGCAUGUGAAGCAAACACUCUACCA
This 189-nucleotide small RNA is filed under the name Marmota monax (woodchuck). Lineage: Eukaryota; Metazoa; Chordata; Mammalia; Rodentia; Sciuridae. The record is from RNAcentral.